RNAcentral lists this ribosomal RNA (2930 nucleotides) under Escherichia coli. Its description in RNAcentral is "23S ribosomal RNA". It matches the Rfam family "Bacterial large subunit ribosomal RNA". Lineage: Bacteria; Pseudomonadati; Pseudomonadota; Gammaproteobacteria; Enterobacterales; Enterobacteriaceae. The record is from RNAcentral.
GGGUUGUGAGGUUAAGCGACUAAGCGUACACGGUGGAUGCCCUGGCAGUCAGAGGCGAUGAAGGACGUGCUAAUCUGCGAUAAGCGUCGGUAAGGUGAUAUGAACCGUUAUAACCGGCGAUUUCCGAAUGGGGAAACCCAGUGUGUUUCGACACACUAUCAUUAACUGAAUCCAUAGGUUAAUGAGGCGAACCGGGGGAACUGAAACAUCUAAGUACCCCGAGGAAAAGAAAUCAACCGAGAUUCCCCCAGUAGCGGCGAGCGAACGGGGAGCAGCCCAGAGCCUGAAUCAGUGUGUGUGUUAGUGGAAGCGUCUGGAAAGGCGCGCGAUACAGGGUGACAGCCCCGUACACAAAAAUGCACAUGCUGUGAGCUCGAUGAGUAGGGCGGGACACGUGGUAUCCUGUCUGAAUAUGGGGGGACCAUCCUCCAAGGCUAAAUACUCCUGACUGACCGAUAGUGAACCAGUACCGUGAGGGAAAGGCGAAAAGAACCCCGGCGAGGGGAGUGAAAAAGAACCUGAAACCGUGUACGUACAAGCAGUGGGAGCACGCUUCGGCGUGUGACUGCGUACCUUUUGUAUAAUGGGUCAGCGACUUAUAUUCUGUAGCAAGGUUAACCGAAUAGGGGAGCCGAAGGGAAACCGAGUCUUAACUGGGCGUUAAGUUGCAGGGUAUAGACCCGAAACCCGGUGAUCUAGCCAUGGGCAGGUUGAAGGUUGGGUAACACUAACUGGAGGACCGAACCGACUAAUGUUGAAAAAUUAGCGGAUGACUUGUGGCUGGGGGUGAAAGGCCAAUCAAACCGGGAGAUAGCUGGUUCUCCCCGAAAGCUAUUUAGGUAGCGCCUCGUGAAUUCAUCUCCGGGGGUAGAGCACUGUUUCGGCAAGGGGGUCAUCCCGACUUACCAACCCGAUGCAAACUGCGAAUACCGGAGAAUGUUAUCACGGGAGACACACGGCGGGUGCUAACGUCCGUCGUGAAGAGGGAAACAACCCAGACCGCCAGCUAAGGUCCCAAAGUCAUGGUUAAGUGGGAAACGAUGUGGGAAGGCCCAGACAGCCAGGAUGUUGGCUUAGAAGCAGCCAUCAUUUAAAGAAAGCGUAAUAGCUCACUGGUCGAGUCGGCCUGCGCGGAAGAUGUAACGGGGCUAAACCAUGCACCGAAGCUGCGGCAGCGACGCUUAUGCGUUGUUGGGUAGGGGAGCGUUCUGUAAGCCUGUGAAGGUGUGCUGUGAGGCAUGCUGGAGGUAUCAGAAGUGCGAAUGCUGACAUAAGUAACGAUAAAGCGGGUGAAAAGCCCGCUCGCCGGAAGACCAAGGGUUCCUGUCCAACGUUAAUCGGGGCAGGGUGAGUCGACCCCUAAGGCGAGGCCGAAAGGCGUAGUCGAUGGGAAACAGGUUAAUAUUCCUGUACUUGGUGUUACUGCGAAGGGGGGACGGAGAAGGCUAUGUUGGCCGGGCGACGGUUGUCCCGGUUUAAGCGUGUAGGCUGGUUUUCCAGGCAAAUCCGGAAAAUCAAGGCUGAGGCGUGAUGACGAGGCACUACGGUGCUGAAGCAACAAAUGCCCUGCUUCCAGGAAAAGCCUCUAAGCAUCAGGUAACAUCAAAUCGUACCCCAAACCGACACAGGUGGUCAGGUAGAGAAUACCAAGGCGCUUGAGAGAACUCGGGUGAAGGAACUAGGCAAAAUGGUGCCGUAACUUCGGGAGAAGGCACGCUGAUAUGUAGGUGAAGUCCCUCGCGGAUGGAGCUGAAAUCAGUCGAAGAUACCAGCUGGCUGCAACUGUUUAUUAAAAACACAGCACUGUGCAAACACGAAAGUGGACGUAUACGGUGUGACGCCUGCCCGGUGCCGGAAGGUUAAUUGAUGGGGUCAGCGCAAGCGAAGCUCUUGAUCGAAGCCCCGGUAAACGGCGGCCGUAACUAUAACGGUCCUAAGGUAGCGAAAUUCCUUGUCGGGUAAGUUCCGACCUGCACGAAUGGCGUAAUGAUGGCCAGGCUGUCUCCACCCGAGACUCAGUGAAAUUGAACUCGCUGUGAAGAUGCAGUGUACCCGCGGCAAGACGGAAAGACCCCGUGAACCUUUACUAUAGCUUGACACUGAACAUUGAGCCUUGAUGUGUAGGAUAGGUGGGAGGCUUUGAAGUGUGGACGCCAGUCUGCAUGGAGCCGACCUUGAAAUACCACCCUUUAAUGUUUGAUGUUCUAACGUUGACCCGUAAUCCGGGUUGCGGACAGUGUCUGGUGGGUAGUUUGACUGGGGCGGUCUCCUCCUAAAGAGUAACGGAGGAGCACGAAGGUUGGCUAAUCCUGGUCGGACAUCAGGAGGUUAGUGCAAUGGCAUAAGCCAGCUUGACUGCGAGCGUGACGGCGCGAGCAGGUGCGAAAGCAGGUCAUAGUGAUCCGGUGGUUCUGAAUGGAAGGGCCAUCGCUCAACGGAUAAAAGGUACUCCGGGGAUAACAGGCUGAUACCGCCCAAGAGUUCAUAUCGACGGCGGUGUUUGGCACCUCGAUGUCGGCUCAUCACAUCCUGGGGCUGAAGUAGGUCCCAAGGGUAUGGCUGUUCGCCAUUUAAAGUGGUACGCGAGCUGGGUUUAGAACGUCGUGAGACAGUUCGGUCCCUAUCUGCCGUGGGCGCUGGAGAACUGAGGGGGGCUGCUCCUAGUACGAGAGGACCGGAGUGGACGCAUCACUGGUGUUCGGGUUGUCAUGCCAAUGGCACUGCCCGGUAGCUAAAUGCGGAAGAGAUAAGUGCUGAAAGCAUCUAAGCACGAAACUUGCCCCGAGAUGAGUUCUCCCUGACCCUUUAAGGGUCCUGAAGGAACGUUGAAGACGACGACGUUGAUAGGCCGGGUGUGUAAGCGCAGCGAUGCGUUGAGCUAACCGGUACUAAUGAACCGUGAGGCUUAACCUUACAACGCCGAAGCUGUU